Non-coding RNA from Pelodiscus sinensis (Chinese soft-shelled turtle), 1143 nucleotides. The record is from RefSeq and is a predicted model, not a curated record. Lineage: Eukaryota; Metazoa; Chordata; Testudines; Trionychidae.
GUCUGAAUUGCUAUGGCAUUAUAAGGGGCAGGAAGGAAAAUCCCAAUCAUCUACUGUAGCCACGUUUAAACGUACCUUAUUUUUAGAAUGUGCAGCAUGUAGAACGUUAAUGAAUAUUUAAUGCUGUGAAGUUAUAAAUCUUCACCAUCCUCACCCUGAAGUGGCUAGCUGAUACCUUUCUGAACACCUCUAUUAAUGCACAUACAGAAAAUCAGAAAGGAGAAAUUUGACUUCUGCCUUGGCAGGACUGCAGGGCUGCUUGGAACAUGUAUUAACAUCAUACAGGGGAAUCUGAUAAACUCCUUACAAGAUGCCAAACAUAUGUUACCAGGACAAUACAGACAAGCAAAUUACGAGCUUCCAGAUGAUACCUUCUUACAAGGAGUAUUUUGUGCAAAAAUUAUUAAGAUGGUGUGCAGGUGUCAAUACUGGGAUGUAUUCCAUCACAAACAUGUCUAAACAUUUUUCCUUGAGAUAUUGUCAACUAAUAUCUGUUUCCUAGUUUGCUUGGGACAAGGUUCAAUUAACAAGAGAAUCACUCAGAGAUUUAUUUUUCCUGUUUUGAAAGUUGGAACUAAGCCAGUUUCUCUUCUCUCUUCCCAGUCCUUUGAAACUUUCUCUGCUGCCCAUGAUUUUGCAAAGAUAACAGUGGUUCAAUAAGUUAAUUAGCUAAUUCACUUUACAGUGUGAAGUGCAUGUAUCACCUGAAUAUGGAGAUUGGUAGGAGCUCAAUCUCCCCAAGCAUUUUUUACCUGCUUUUAAUCUACAAUUAUAUUUACAAGUUCCUAAUUACUUUUUGAUGAUCCAUUCUUUUUUCCCUUACUUUUCUUAUUAAAAAGAUUUUCAAACCAAUGCAUCAUUGUCCCACAUGAUUCAGAGGCUAAGGUAGGAUUAAAUAAAGUCAAAGGAAAAAUAUAUGUAAGGGGUUUUCUCUCCUGUUGAUUCAGGGAUUGCCUUCUACUAGUGUUAUAUAGGAGUUAUGCAACUGUAUUCUGCAGUUCUGUGCAUGUUACAUGGAGAAUAAAAGCCAGCUAGAGGGGCUAUUCCUUUAGGACAAGCAAUAUAGAGUCUCCUUCAGUAUUGGCAAGUUCUAGCUUUGCUUCCCACUGAGGAGCCAUGACAGAAGAUUGUUACACUCAUCGA